GUGUUUGGCUCUAUUUUCAUGAAACUAAAAACGGACACUUUUUCUGCCGAACACCGCUGAAACAACGGAACGCCUGGCUGCCUCCAAGAAAGCAUACGAACACUGGCUGUUCGGGAGUUUUGAAACACACGAAAGAACUUAACCCAGAUAGCCUACCCAUGGAGUCAAUCGCAUACCGAAAGACUGUAAGAACUUUGACUCCAUGGCGAUUGAACUGUGUGUGUGGGAUCUGAGCGCUAUUCGCUAAUAAUAUGCACUCAGAUCCAGGCUAUCUGGGGAUAUGUGAUGCGAAUGGGAAAUGUUAG
Pelobates cultripes (western spadefoot toad) is the source of this 305-nucleotide non-coding RNA. Lineage: Eukaryota; Metazoa; Chordata; Amphibia; Anura; Pelobatidae. The record is from the annotation of a GenBank genome assembly.